GCGAACGCUGGCGGCAGGCUUAACACAUGCAAGUCGAACGCAUCCUUCGGGGUGAGUGGCAGACGGGUGAGUAACACGUGGGAACGUACCCUUCGAUCUGGGAUAACUUCGGGAAACUGGAGCUAAUACCGGAUACGCCCUUUUGGGGAAAGGUUUACUGUCGAAGGAUCGGCCCGCGUCUGAUUAGCUAGUUGGUGGGGUAACGGCCUACCAAGGCGACGAUCAGUAGCUG
RNAcentral lists this ribosomal RNA (232 nucleotides) under Methylobacterium sp. ISO877_OTU3060. Its description in RNAcentral is "partial 16S ribosomal RNA". It matches the Rfam family "Bacterial small subunit ribosomal RNA", at positions 29 to 289 of the family's 1533-position model. Lineage: Bacteria; Pseudomonadati; Pseudomonadota; Alphaproteobacteria; Hyphomicrobiales; Methylobacteriaceae. The record is from RNAcentral.